UCUUAGCUUGCUAAGGCCGAUGGCGACCGGCGCACGGUGUGAGUAACACGUAUCCAACCUGCCGUCUACUCUUGGACAGCCUUCUGAAAGGAAGAUUAAUACAAGAUGGCAUCAUGAGUCCGCAUGUUCACAUGAUUAAAGGUAUUCCGGUAGACGAUGGGGAUGCGUUCCAUUAGAUAGUAGGCGGGGUAACGGCCCACCUAGUCUUCCAUGGAUAGGGGUUCUGAGAGGAAGGUCCCCCACAUUGGAACUGAGACACGGUCCAAACUCAUACGGGAGGCAGCAGUGAGGAAUAUUGGUCAAUGGGCGAGAGCCUGAACCAGCCAAGUAGCGUGAAGGAUGACUGCCCUAUGGGUUGUAAACUUCUUUUAUAAAGGAAUAAAGUCGGGUAUGGAUACCCGUUUGCAUGUACUUUAUGAAUAAGGAUCGGCUAACUCCGUGCCAGCAGCCGCGGUAAUACGGAGGAUCCGAGCGUUAUCCGGAUUUAUUGGGUUUAAAGGGAGCGUAGAUGGAUGUUUAAGUCAGUUGUGAAAGUUUGCGGCUCAACCGUAAAAUUG
This 557-nucleotide ribosomal RNA is filed under the name Bacteroides sp. HGBC31. RNAcentral's name for it is "bacterial SSU rRNA". It matches the Rfam family "Bacterial small subunit ribosomal RNA", at positions 73 to 623 of the family's 1533-position model. Lineage: Bacteria; Pseudomonadati; Bacteroidota; Bacteroidia; Bacteroidales; Bacteroidaceae. The record is from RNAcentral.